GGGGAGAGCGCUGGGCCGUGUCGAGCCAUCCUGCUUGUUCAAAGCGAAGUGCUAUUUUACAAAAGCAGAACCUUACGUAGUUGACGUAUUAACAAGCCAAUGAAAAUACUCUUCAUACAUCUUUGGGCAUGUGUGAAAGGAAGCCAAACACUGGAAACAGCUCUCAAGUGUUUCUUGCACAGACACAUGUACCUAUUUACCUGAAAGUGGCCAGGAAGUUUGACAGGCAUGAUACUACAAUUAUUGUUAUUGUAAGUAGUCAGUCAUCUGCAGAAGGGUGUGCUCUUCACAGGCCCAAUGCAAAGUUUCAC
Long non-coding RNA from Lepidothrix coronata (blue-crowned manakin), 311 nucleotides. RefSeq lists it as uncharacterized. The transcript has 3 exons. NCBI's taxonomy places the organism in Eukaryota, Metazoa, Chordata, Aves, Passeriformes, Pipridae. The record is from RefSeq and is a predicted model, not a curated record.